RNAcentral lists this ribosomal RNA (274 nucleotides) under uncultured bacterium. Its description in RNAcentral is "partial 16S ribosomal RNA". It matches the Rfam family "Bacterial small subunit ribosomal RNA", at positions 523 to 796 of the family's 1533-position model. The record is from RNAcentral.
AUACAGAGGGUGCAAGCGUUAAUCGGAAUUACUGGGCGUAAAGCGCGCGUAGGCGGUUUGUUAAGUCGGAUGUGAAAUCCCCGGGCUCAACCUGGGAACUGCAUUCGAAACUGGCAUGCUAGAGUAUGGUAGAGGGAAGUGGAAUUCCGGGUGUAGCGGUGAAAUGCGUAGAUAUUAGGAGGAACAUCAGUGGCGAAGGCGACUUACUGGACCAAUACUGACACUGAGGCGCGAAGGCGUGGGGAGCAAACAGGAUUAGAAACCCCAGUAGUCC